RNAcentral lists this transfer RNA (74 nucleotides) under Yersinia enterocolitica (type O:5,27) str. YE149/02. RNAcentral describes it as "transfer RNA-Met". The stretch from base 1 to 53 matches the Rfam family "tRNA", at positions 20 to 71 of the family's 71-position model. From Rfam's summary of the family: Transfer RNA (tRNA) molecules are approximately 80 nucleotides in length. Their secondary structure includes four short double-helical elements and three loops (D, anti-codon, and T loops). Lineage: Bacteria; Pseudomonadati; Pseudomonadota; Gammaproteobacteria; Enterobacterales; Yersiniaceae. The record is from RNAcentral.
AGAGCACAGCACUCAUAAUGCUGGGGUCACAGGUUCGAUUCCCGUCGUAGCCACCAUCUUUUGGGGUAUCGCCA